AACGAACGCUGGCGGCACGUUUUAAGCAUGCAAGUCGAAUGGCAGCAGGGGCAACUCUGUGAGAAUGGCGAACGGGUGAGUAACACGUAGGUGAUCUGCCUUGAGGAUGGGGAUAGCCUGUGGAAACACAGGGUAAUACAGAAUAAGCUGACGGGACUUUGGUUUUGUUAGUAAAGGUGCUACGGCACCGCCUUGAGAGGAGCCUGCGGCUGAUUGGCUAGUUGGUGGGGUAAAGGCCUACCAAGGCGACGAUCAGUAGCCGGCCUGAGAGGGUGUACGGCCACACGGGGACUGAGACAGGGCCCAGACUCCUACGGGAGGCAGCAGCUAAGAAUCUUCCGCAAUGGGCGAAAGCCUGACGGAGCGAUGCCGCGUGAUCGAUGAAGGUCGAGAGAUUGUAAAGAUCUUUUCUACAUGAGGAAUAAGUCUGGGAGGGAAUGCCUGGAUGAUGACGUUAGUGUAGGAAUAAGCCCCGGCUAAUUACGUGCCAGCAGCCGCAGUAA
RNAcentral lists this ribosomal RNA (503 nucleotides) under uncultured bacterium. RNAcentral's name for it is "partial 16S ribosomal RNA". It matches the Rfam family "Bacterial small subunit ribosomal RNA", at positions 29 to 523 of the family's 1533-position model. The record is from RNAcentral.